AAGGCAAAUUGGCUAAUUGAGCUUUGCUUUUGGCAAAGUUAGGAAAGUCCGGACAUUCAUUUGCUCAACAAAAUAGAGUAAAAUGGUAGCGGGUAAUUCCCGUCUGGAGCAAUCCACGAGGUGCGAGCAGAGACGCUUUUAUUAGAAAUAAUAAAAGUAUCCCUUUGCGGGAUAAGUUCUUAUAGCAAUAUAAGAAGUGAAACGGCUAAAUCCUUACCUGAAUGCAAGGUCGUGUCUUGUUCUACACUAGUAAGAGCAAGAAGUGCCGCUUGAUCUUAAUGGCAACAUUAAGGCUAGAUAAAUAAUUAGCGAAUACAGAAUCCGGCUUAUAGAUUUGCCUUGAUA
Molecule: RNase P RNA, 345 nt
Filed under: Candidatus Moranbacteria bacterium CG_4_8_14_3_um_filter_34_16
Lineage: Bacteria; Candidatus Moraniibacteriota
Also listed under: 1 other name
Description: RNase P RNA component class A
Rfam family: Bacterial RNase P class A
About the family: Ribonuclease P (RNase P) is a ubiquitous endoribonuclease, found in archaea, bacteria and eukarya as well as chloroplasts and mitochondria.
Source: RNAcentral